GACGAACGCUGGCGGCGUGCUUAACACAUGCAAGUCGAACGGAAAGGCCCUGCUUUUGUGGGGUGCUCGAGUGGCGAACGGGUGAGUAACACGUGAGUAACCUGCCCUUGACUUUGGGAUAACUUCAGGAAACUGGGGCUAAUACCGGAUAGGAGCUCCUGCUGCAUGGUGGGGGUUGGAAAGUUUCGGCGGUUGGGGAUGGACUCGCGGCUUAUCAGCUUGUUGGUGGGGUAGUGGCUUACCAAGGGUUUGACGGGUAGCCGGCCUGAGAGGGUGACCGGCCACAUUGGGACUGAGAGACGGACCAGACGCCUACGGGAGGCAGAAGUGGGGAAUAUUGCACAGUGGGGGGAAGCCUGAUGCAGCAACGCCGCGUGCGGGAUGACGGCCUUCGGGUUGUAAACCGCUUUCGCCUGUGACGAAGCGUGAGUGACGGUAAUGGGUAAAGAAGCACCGGCUAACUACGUG
Molecule: ribosomal RNA, 468 nt
Filed under: uncultured bacterium
Lineage: Bacteria
Description: partial 16S ribosomal RNA
Rfam family: Bacterial small subunit ribosomal RNA
Source: RNAcentral